GCAUAUCAAUAAGCGGAGGAAAAGAAACCAACCGGGAUUGCCUUAGUAACGGCGAGUGAAGCGGCAAAAGCUCAAAUUUGAAAACUGGUACCUUCGGUGCCCGAGUUGUAAUUUGGAGAGGGCAACUUUGGGGCCGUUCCUUGUCUAUGUUCCUUGGAACAGGACGUCAUAGAGGGUGAGAAUCCCGUGUGGCGAGGAGUGCGGUUCUUUGUAAAGUGCCUUCGAAGAGUCGAGUUGUUUGGGAAUGCAGCUCUAAGUGGGUGGUAAAUUCCAUCUAAAGCUAAAUAUUGGCGAGAGACCGAUAGCGAACAAGUACAGUGAUGGAAAGAUGAAAAGAACUUUGAAAAGAGAGUGAAAAAGUACGUGAAAUUGUUGAAAGGGAAGGGCAUUUGAUCAGACAUGGUGUUUUGUGCCCUCUGCUCCUUGUGGGUAGGGGAAUCUCGCAUUUCACUGGGCCAGCAUCAGAUUUGGUGGCAGGAUAAAUCCAUAGGAAUGUAGCUUGCCUCGGUAAGUAUUAUAGCCUGUGGGAAUACUGCCAGCUGGGACUGAGGACUGCGACGUAAGUCAAGGAUGCUGGCAUAAUGGUUAUAUGCCGCCCGUCUUGAAACACGGACC
Molecule: ribosomal RNA, 615 nt
Rfam family: Eukaryotic large subunit ribosomal RNA